This 341-nucleotide ribosomal RNA is filed under the name uncultured bacterium. RNAcentral describes it as "bacterial SSU rRNA". It matches the Rfam family "Bacterial small subunit ribosomal RNA", at positions 29 to 396 of the family's 1533-position model. The record is from RNAcentral.
AACGAACGCUGGCGGCAUGCCUAACACAUGCAAGUCGAACGAGACCUUCGGGUCUAGUGGCGCACGGGUGCGUAACGCGUGGGAACCUGCCUUUAGGUUCGGAAUAAACUCAGAGAAAUUUGAGCUAAUACCGGAUGAUGUCUUCGGACCAAAGAUUUAUCGCCUUUAGAUGGGCCCGCGUAAGAUUAGCUAGUUGGUGGGUAAAGGCCUACCAAGGCGACGAUCUUUAGCUGGUCUGAGAGGAUGAUCAGCCACACUGGGACUGAGACACGGCCCAGACUCCUACGGGAGGCAGCAGUGGGGAAUAUUGGACAAUGGGCGAAAGACCUGAUCCAGCAAUG